GACGAACGCUGGCGGCAUGCCUAAUACAUGCAAGUCGAGCGAACUGUUGGAAGCUUGCUUCCUUCAGUUAGCGGCGGACGGGUGAGUAACACGUGGGCAACCUGCCCUUCAGAUGGGGAUAACUCCGGGAAACCGGGGCUAAUACCGAAUAAUCCAUUCUCUCGCAUGAGAGAAUGUUGAAAGACGGUUUCGGCUGUCACUGAACGGAUGGGCCCGCGGCGCAUUAGCUAGUUGGUGAGGUAACGGCUCACCAAGGCCACGAUGCGUAGCCGACUUGAGAGGGUGAUCGGCCACACUGGGACUGAGACACGGCCCAGACUCCUACGGGAGGCUG
This 334-nucleotide ribosomal RNA is filed under the name uncultured Bacillota bacterium. RNAcentral's name for it is "bacterial SSU rRNA". It matches the Rfam family "Bacterial small subunit ribosomal RNA", at positions 28 to 351 of the family's 1533-position model. Lineage: Bacteria; Bacillati; Bacillota. The record is from RNAcentral.